RNAcentral lists this transfer RNA (69 nucleotides) under Halogeometricum borinquense DSM 11551. RNAcentral's name for it is "tRNA-Glu". Lineage: Archaea; Methanobacteriati; Methanobacteriota; Halobacteria; Halobacteriales; Haloferacaceae. The record is from RNAcentral.
GCCCUGCCGUUCGCUGAUAAAUGGCGGCCUUUCGAGCCGAGGACAGGGGUUCAAAUCCCCUACCGAGCA